This 112-nucleotide ribosomal RNA is filed under the name Flavisolibacter sp. The record is from RNAcentral. Lineage: Bacteria; Pseudomonadati; Bacteroidota; Chitinophagia; Chitinophagales; Chitinophagaceae.
UAUGGUGGUUAUGCCGGGGGUGUUCACCUCUUCCCAUACCGAACAGAGAAGUUAAGUCCCCCAUGGCCAAUGGUACUGGUACACCAACCGGGAGAGUAGGUAGCUGCCAUAU